This is a long non-coding RNA of Phycodurus eques (leafy seadragon), 1454 nucleotides long. RefSeq lists it as uncharacterized. NCBI's taxonomy places the organism in Eukaryota, Metazoa, Chordata, Actinopteri, Syngnathiformes, Syngnathidae. The transcript is spliced from 3 exons. The record is from RefSeq and is a predicted model, not a curated record.
CUGUGAUGUAUCCUUUACAGAACACGGCCUCGCUCCAUUCUUUGCUCGAGAAGUAAUGUAUUGACCCAAGAGGAGACUACAGGCAGCAAGAAAUCAGAUCCCUGCAGCAAAGUGACGACAGUGUAAAAUCCUACAACAUCCAUGCGGGCACACUGGCCAGGGCCCCAACCCGGUUGCUGGCUACACACUGGUAGCGGCCUAACGUCACAUUGGACAGCGUGGCGAUGAACAAGCCUCCGGGCCCCAGCGCCACGCCGAGGUCUCCGUCCACAAGCUGCCGGCCGUUCAGGCGCCAACUGAUGGAGGCGGACGCGGGGCGGGCGGCGCAGCGCAGGCUCACGCUGCCUCCGAGCUUCUGCACCACUGAGACGGGCUCCUCGGUGAACUCCGGGACUUCAUCUGCGUGAUAAAUGGGGAGGAAUCAUUGUUGAGAGACAGUACAUCCAAAAUACAUUCGCCUUGAGAUUCAAACAUUAUUCUGCACCCAAAAUACUUUACAUUCCUCUAUUGCACCACUUUUGUUGUUGUUGUAAAACUCUCACAUUUCUACUUCCAUUCAAACCCUUUGGGGGACUAUGUUUUACAUGCUCAAAAUUCCCACUUUUCCAUUAAUUUUUUUUUUAAUUAAAAAAAUCCAACUGAACUGAAUGGAGAAGUUUCCCAAAUAUAACUCUCUCCGUCCAAAACUCAUUCCAACUUCAAAAUGUUCACCACAUUUUUGACAUAGUGCAAAGUAUUUUUCAAAUUCCCCAGUAUUUCAUUUUCACCAUGAUGAAAUUCCAAAAUUAAAUGCUGAAUUUGUUUUACAAUUUUCAUUCCUAAUUCUGGAGAGAUUUAAACCAUUUCAACAUCAACAUAUUCAGUUAAUUUAGGAUAUCUGGGCAACUAUUUUUAUUUUUUUUUACCUUCCCAAAAAUUCAUUUUCCAUGACAAAAUUAAUGUAGACAUUUUACACGUUUUUCGUCAUCCUUCCACAUUUCUCAAACAAUUCAAACCAUUCCAAUGUCAAAAUAUUCAUCUUAUUCGGAACAUCUGGGAAACUACUUUCCACAUUUCCAAAAUUCCCACAAUUCCACAUUUUUAUUUUUUUCAUGAAAAAAUUUCAACUCGAUGGCGAGAUUGUCCAAAUUUAACUCAUCCUUCCACAUUUCUGUACUUAUUAUUAUUCAAACCAUUCCAAUUCAAAUUGAAAUGUUCCCACUUUUUUUUUUAUAUUUGACAUUUUCCAUGACAAAAUUCCCAAAUUAAUAGGGACAUUUUACAAAGGUUACCUAAUUCGUCCUCAUUCCUCAACUGAUUCAAAUUUUGCUAACUUCAAACAGUUCAGAUGAUUUAGGACUAAUGAACUAUUUUGCACAUCCUCCAAAUCCCACUUUUUUAGUAUUUCACAUUUUUCAAGUCAAAAUUCCCAAAUUUACAAUUUACAACACAUUUCUCGACCAAUUCAAUACAAU